This 481-nucleotide ribosomal RNA is filed under the name uncultured bacterium. RNAcentral describes it as "partial 16S ribosomal RNA". It matches the Rfam family "Bacterial small subunit ribosomal RNA", at positions 30 to 507 of the family's 1533-position model. The record is from RNAcentral.
UUGAACGCUGGCGGCAUGCUUUACACAUGCAAGUCGAACGGUAACAGGCCGCAAGGUGCUGACGAGUGGCGAACGGGUGAGUAAUGCAUCGGAACGUGCCCAGUCGUGGGGGAUAACUACUCGAAAGAGUAGCUAAUACCGCAUACGAUCUAUGGAUGAAAGCGGGGGACCGUAAGGCCUCGCGCGAUUGGAGCGGCCGAUGUCAGAUUAGGUAGUUGGUGGGGUAAAGGCUCACCAAGCCAACGAUCUGUAGCUGGUCUGAGAGGACGACCAGCCACACUGGGACUGAGACACGGCCCAGACUCCUACGGGAGGCAGCAGUGGGGAAUUUUGGACAAUGGGCGCAAGCCUGAUCCAGCAAUGCCGCGUGCAGGAAGAAGGCCUUCGGGUUGUAAACUGCUUUUGUACGGAACGAAACGGCUCUGGUUAAUACCCGGGGCUAAUGACGGUACCGUAAGAGUAAGCACCGGCUAACUACGUG